CUGGAGGACCGAACCGACUAAUGUUGAAAAAUUAGCGGAUGACCUGUGGCUGGGGGUGAAAGGCCAAUCAAACCGGGAGAUAGCUGGUUCUCCCCGAAAGCUAUUUAGGUAGCGCCUCGUGAACUCAUCUCCGGGGGUAGAGCACUGUUUCGGCUAGGGGGCCAUCCCGGCUUACCAACCCGAUGCAAACUGCGAAUACCGGAGAAUGUUAUCACGGGAGACACACGGCGGGUGCUAACGUCCGUCGUGAAGAGGGAAACAACCCAGACCGCCAGCUAAGGUCCCAAAGUCAUGGUUAAGUGGGAAACGAUGUGGGAAGGCCCAGACAGCCAGGAUGUUGGCUUAGAAGCAGCCAUCAUUUAAAGAAAGCGUAAUAGCUCACUGGUCGAGUCGGCCUGCGCGGAAGAUGUAACGGGGCUAAACCAUGCACCGAAGCUGCGGCAGCGACACUCAGGUGUUGUUGGGUAGGGGAGCGUUCUGUAAGCCUGCGAAGGUGGCCUGUGAGGGUUGCUGGAGGUAUCAGAAGUGCGAAUGCUGACAUAAGUAACGAUAAAGCGGGUGAAAAGCCCGCUCGCCGGAAGACCAAGGGUUCCUGUCCAACGUUAAUCGGGGCAGGGUGAGUCGACCCCUAAGGCGAGGCCGAAAGGCGUAGUCGAUGGGAAACGGGUUAAUAUUCCCGUACUUGGUGUUACUGCGAAGGGGGGACGGAGAAGGCUAUGUUGGCCGGGCGACGGUUGUCCCGGUUUAAGCGUGUAGGUGUGUGUUCCAGGUAAAUCCGGUUCACUUUAACACUGAGGCGUGAUGACGAGGCACUACGGUGCUGAAGCAACAAAUGCCCUGCUUCCAGGAAAAGCCUCUAAGCAUCAGGUAACAUCAAAUCGUACCCCAAACCGACACAGGUGGUCAGGUAGAGAAUACCAAGGCGCUUGAGAGAACUCGGGUGAAGGAACUAGGCAAAAUGGUGCCGUAACUUCGGGAGAAGGCACGCUGACACGUAGGUGAAGUGAUUUACUCAUGGAGCUGAAGUCAGUCGAAGAUACCAGCUGGCUGCAACUGUUUAUUAAAAACACAGCACUGUGCAAACACGAAAGUGGACGUAUACGGUGUGACGCCUGCCCGGUGCCGGAAGGUUAAUUGAUGGGGUCAGCGCAAGCGAAGCUCCUGAUCGAAGCCCCGGUAAACGGCGGCCGUAACUAUAACGGUCCUAAGGUAGCGAAAUUCCUUGUCGGGUAAGUUCCGACCUGCACGAAUGGCGUAAUGAUGGCCAGGCUGUCUCCACCCGAGACUCAGUGAAAUUGAACUCGCUGUGAAGAUGCAGUGUACCCGCGGCAAGACGGAAAGACCCCGUGAACCUUUACUAUAGCUUGACACUGAACAUUGAGCCUUGAUGUGUAGGAUAGGUGGGAGGCUUUGAAGUGUGGACGCCAGUCUGCAUGGAGCCGGCCUUGAAAUACCACCCUUUAAUGUUUGAUGUUCUAACGUGGACCCGUGAUCCGGGUUGCGGACAGUGUCUGGUGGGUAGUUUGACUGGGGCGGUCUCCUCCUAAAGAGUAACGGAGGAGCACGAAGGUUGGCUAAUCCUGGUCGGACAUCAGGAGGUUAGUGCAAUGGCAUAAGCCAGCUUGACUGCGAGCGUGACGGCGCGAGCAGGUGCGAAAGCAGGUCAUAGUGAUCCGGUGGUUCUGAAUGGAAGGGCCAUCGCUCAACGGAUAAAAGGUACUCCGGGGAUAACAGGCUGAUACCGCCCAAGAGUUCAUAUCGACGGCGGUGUUUGGCACCUCGAUGUCGGCUCAUCACAUCCUGGGGCUGAAGUAGGUCCCAAGGGUAUGGCUGUUCGCCAUUUAAAGUGGUACGCGAGCUGGGUUUAGAACGUCGUGAGACAGUUCGGUCCCUAUCUGCCGUGGGCGCUGGAGAACUGAGGGGGGCUGCUCCUAGUACGAGAGGACCGGAGUGGACGCAUCACUGGUGUUCGGGUUGUCAUGCCAAUGGCACUGCCCGGUAGCUAAAUGCGGAAGAGAUAAGUGCUGAAAGCAUCUAAGCACGAAACUUGCCCCGAGAUGAGUUCUCCCUGAGACUUUAGGUCUCCUGAAGGAACGUUGAAGACGACGACGUUGAUAGGCCGGGUGUGUAAGCGCAGCGAUGCGUUGAGCUAACCGGUACUAAUGAACCGUGAGGCUUAACCUUACA
This 2187-nucleotide ribosomal RNA is filed under the name Salmonella enterica. RNAcentral describes it as "partial 23S ribosomal RNA". It matches the Rfam family "Bacterial large subunit ribosomal RNA", at positions 766 to 2925 of the family's 2925-position model. Lineage: Bacteria; Pseudomonadati; Pseudomonadota; Gammaproteobacteria; Enterobacterales; Enterobacteriaceae. The record is from RNAcentral.